Molecule: non-coding RNA, 103 nt
Organism: Mycena vulgaris
Lineage: Eukaryota; Fungi; Basidiomycota; Agaricomycetes; Agaricales; Mycenaceae
Source: the annotation of a GenBank genome assembly
GGUCUGGUGGUGUAAUGGGAACACGUCCACUUUCUUUAGGACUAUCCCAAUUAAAUAUUAUGUGGACAUGUGUAAGAUUCUUGUUCGACUCAAGGCCAGGCCA